RNAcentral lists this long non-coding RNA (3242 nucleotides) under Homo sapiens (human). RNAcentral's name for it is "HSALNT0128744". Lineage: Eukaryota; Metazoa; Chordata; Mammalia; Primates; Hominidae. The record is from RNAcentral.
UAUGAAUAUUCACAGCAGUUUUAUUUGUAAUAGCCAAAAACUGGAAACAACCCCAAUGUCUUUCAAUGGGUGAAUGGUUAAAUAAACUGUGGUACAUCCAUACCAUGGAAUAUUAAUCAACAAGAAAAAGAAAUGAACUACUGAUACAUGCACCAGCUUGGAUGAAUCUCCAGGGCAUGUUGCUGAGUGAAAAAAAGCCAGUUCCUCAAACAUUACAUACUGUUUGAUUUCACUUAUAUAACAUUCUUGACAUGACACAAUUAUAGAGGUGGAGGACAGAUAAGUGGUUGCCAGGUGUUAGGAAUGGAAGGAGGGAAGUGGCUAUAGCUAUAAAAAUGUAGUGGGGGCUCCUUGUGAUGGAGCUAUUCUGUAUCUUGACUGUGGUGGUCCCCAUGAAUCCUCACAUGUAAUAAGGCUGCAUAGAAUUAAAUACACAGAGACGUACACAAAUGAAUACAUGUCACACUGUCACACUGAUGAUGAAAUCUGAGUAAGGCCAAUGGAUUGUAUCAGCAUCAAUUUCCGGGUUGUCAUAUGGCACCACAAGAUGUUAUCACUGGACGAAAGGUGUAAGAGAUAUCUCUGCGUCAUUUCUUACAAUGGCAUGUACACAUACAAUUAUCACAAAAAUCAGAUAAAAUUACAAUAAAUAAAUUAUAUUUUUAAAUGUUUAAAAUAUAUUAAACAUAUAUAUUAAAAUAAAUUUAAAAUAUUGAAAGACGUCUGGGUUGUUUCCAGUUUUUGGCUAUUACAAAUAAAGCUGCUAUGAACAUUCAUAUGCAGGCUUUGAAUGAACAUUAAGUUUUCAUUCUCUGGAAUAAAUGUCUGAGAGUGCAAUUGCUGGGUCAUUUGGUAAGCAAACUAAAAACUCAUCACUUCCUAAUUAUUUUAUUACAUUUCCCUCCUAUCUGUGUCCUUGGGAUUAUUUAUAUCUAUUGUAUCUAUCUAGUGGCUGACUGAUGUCAUGUUGGUAUUUUUUUGUUGUUGUCAUUGGUUCUGUUUUUGUGAUGGAUUACACUUAUUGACCUGCAUAUGUUGAACCAGCCUUGCCUCCCAGGGAUAAAGCCAACUUCAUCGUGGUGUAUAAGCUUUUUGAUGUGCUGCUGGAUUCAGUUUGCCAGUGUUUUAUUGAGGAUUUUCACAUUGAUGUUCUUCAGGGAUAUUGGCCUCAAGUUUUCUUUUUUUUGCUGUGUCUCUGCCAGGUUUUAGUAUCAGGAUGAUGCUGGCCUCAUAAAAUGAGUUAGGGAGGUGUCCCUCCUUUUCAAUUGUUUGGAAUAGUUUCAGAAGUAUUGGGGGAACCCGCCCCCAAUAUUUCAACGUAGGUUCUUUCUAUUUUCCCUAAGUGUUGGCUGGUCUGAGAAAUAAAGAGUACAAAGAGAGGAAUUUUACAGCUGGGCUGCUGGGGGUGACAUCACAUAGCGGUAGGACCGUGAUGCCAACCUGAGCUGCAAAACCAGCAAGUUUUUAUCAGGGAUUUCAAAAGGGGAGGGGGUGUACAAACAGGGAGUAGGUCACAUGCUUUAAGGGGUAAAAAGCAGAGCAAAGAUCACAUGCUUCUGAGGAAACACAGCAAGGACAAAAUCAGAACUCCCGAUAAGGGUCUACGUUCAGCAGUGCACAUAUAGUCUUGAUAAACAUCUUAACAGAAAACAGGGUUCAAGAGCAGAGAACCAGUCUGAACUCAAAUUUACCAGGGUUGGGGUUUCCCAAUCCUAGUAAGCCUGAUGGUACUGCAGGAGACCAGGGCCUUAUCUCAACCACUUAAGACAGACACUCCCAGAGCCUUAUUUCAGGCUUUAUCUCAACCACUUAAGACAGACACUCCCAGAGUGGCCAUUUAUAGACCUCCCCCAAGGGAUGCAAUUAUUUUCCUAAGGUCUUAAUAUUAAUAUUUCUUGCUAGGAAAAGAAUUUAGCGAUAUCUCUCCUACUUGCACACCCAUUUAUAGGCUCUCUGCAAGAAGAAAAAUAUGGCUCUUUUUGCCUGACCCUACAGGCAGUCAGACCUUAUGGUUGUCUUCCCUUGUUCCCUAAAAUCACUGUUAUUCUGUUCUUUUUCAAGGUGCACUGAUUUCAUAUUGUUCAAACACACAUGUUUUACAAUCAAUUUGUACAGUAAACACAAUCAUCACAGUGAUCCUGAGGUGAUGUACAUCCUCAAUUUACGAAGAUAACAGGAUUAAGAGAUUAAAAUAAAGACAGGAGUAAGAAAUUAUGAAAGUAUUAUUUGGAAACUGAUAAAUGUCCAUGAAAUCUUCACAAUUUAUGUCCUCUGCCAAGGCUCCAGCCAGUCCCUCCAUUCGGGGUCCCUGAAUUCCUGCAACACAGAAGGAAUGGUACCAGUUCCUUUUUGUACCUCUGGUAGAAUUUGGCUGUGAAUCGUCUGGUCCUGGGCUUUUUUUGGUUGAUAGGCUAUUAAUUACUUUUUUUUUUUAAAGAUAGGGUCUCACUCUGUUGCCCAGUCUCGGGUAUAGUGGCACAGUCUCAGCUCACUGAAACCUCCACCUCCCAGUUCCAGUGAUCCUCCCAUCUCAGCCUCCCGAGUAGCUGGGAUUACAGGCAUGUGCCACCACACCCAGCUAAUUUUUGUAUUUUUAGUAGAGACAGAGUUUUACCAUGUUGGUCAGGAUAAUCUUGAACUCCUGGCCUCAAGUGAUCCACCCACCUUGGCCUCCCAAAGUGCUGGGACUACAGGUGUGAGCCACUGAGUCUGGCCUCAUAUUCAGAUUCUUGUGAGAAUACUUAUACCACAAGAAUGGGCAAACACUACAAAUCAGGGCUUUCCCCACCUCCUCUAGAGCCUGUUGUUAAGCAUCUGCCAGCACACCACUGGGUUGGCCUGCUUGUCAGAGUCUGAGGAUGUGGAGUGUGGUCUUUGAGGAGGAUGGGAGCAAGAGCUGAACUAGGAGCAGCAGGGUUGCCGGAUGCUGCUGCAGGCCCAGCUGAGGGAGGAGACCACAGUUGGACAGGGCCAGGCCUGCUGGCAUUAGCAAACGCCAUUGGCUGCAUUUGUUGAGGACUGGAGUUUUGCCAGGUGCCUGUAAGGGAAGAACAAUGGGGAGAGGGAGUUUAGAAUGGAAAGAGUUAGUGUUUGGUGCUGGAGCAUGGAUUUGAGAUGGAAAGGGAGAGAUGUGGAGAAACAGAGAUUGUGGGAUGGGCAUGGAGGUGUCCAUGGGCUGAAAGUCCCAAAGAGCCAGAGGAACAGUGUGUCACAGGUGACUGAGCUAAUCUGCUAGAGUGGAG